AGUGAACGCUGGCGGUAGGCCUAACACAUGCAAGUCGAACGGCAGCACAGUAAGAGCUUGCUCUUACGGGUGGCGAGUGGCGGACGGGUGAGGAAUACAUCGGAAUCUACUUUUUCGUGGGGGAUAACGUAGGGAAACUUACGCUAAUACCGCAUACGACCUACGGGUGAAAGCAGGGGAUCUUCGGACCUUGCGCGAUUGAAUGAGCCGAUGUCGGAUUAGCUAGUUGGCGGGGUAAAGGCCCACCAAGGCGACGAUCCGUAGCUGGUCUGAGAGGAUGAUCAGCCACACUGGAACUGAGACACGGUCCAGACUCCUACGGAAGGCAGCAGUGGGGAAUAUUGGACAAUGGGCGCAAGCCUGAUCCAGCCAUACCGCGUGGGUGAAGAAGGCCUUCGGGUUGUAAAGCCCUUUUGUUGGGAAAGAAAAGCAGCAGGUUAAUACCCCGCUGUUCUGACGGUACCCAAAGAAUAAGCACCGGCUAAUUUCGUG
Molecule: ribosomal RNA, 492 nt
Filed under: uncultured bacterium
Lineage: Bacteria
Description: partial 16S ribosomal RNA
Rfam family: Bacterial small subunit ribosomal RNA
Source: RNAcentral